RNAcentral lists this long non-coding RNA (359 nucleotides) under Brachypodium distachyon (stiff brome). RNAcentral's name for it is "long non-coding RNA (BDIS_LNC005033)". Lineage: Eukaryota; Viridiplantae; Streptophyta; Magnoliopsida; Poales; Poaceae. The record is from RNAcentral.
UAGUUUAGCUAAGCUUUCUCCUCAUGGAGUGGUUGCAUGAACCACCUCCUAGUAUUGCACCUCUUCUGCUUAAUGAUGUAACAACUAUGUCCAAUGAAUAAAGACGGUGUUUUACUCGUAAAAAAAAUGGGAGAGCACCACAUGCCCUCUACCUGUAACAACCUUGCUCAAUGUACCAUCCGAAAUCCAAGGGUCCCCCGGUGAUUGCCUAAAAAAAAAGAAAUCCAAGGGUCGUCUUAGAUAUAUAUAUAUAUACCUUUGGACUAUCACCCAUCCGCAAUAUACAUACCCUCUUCAAAGUUUGCACACCGGCCAUAAUAUUUUGCCAUGUAAAAGAUGCACCUUUCUUCGCUUUUGUA